AGCAAAAUAAAUUCAUACAUACAGUGGCACACGCAGCCAGAUAUACAAAAUAUUCUACAAUGACAUGUGGGCCUAAAAAAUAAACAUAUAUGUACAAGACUAUAGAUCUGUGAUUUCUAAGGAUGCAAACCAAAAAGCAAACUCUCGACAUAAUUAGUGGUCUACAGACUGCCCUGAGCUUGAAUGGGUGAAAAGAAUGGGUGAGUUUUUAUAAACCCAGUGAGUAAGCAAAUUUCAUCAAAAACAUCUAAAACCGAGUAAAUAGAGACAAUUUAAAAUAUCUCAUCAUAAUAUGAUUCAUAACAUCAAAUCUCAUUUCAUUUCAUAUAAAUCAAUUUGGCUUAUGAUUCUCGUAAAAACUUGGCUUAUGCUAAAAACUUGCACUCGAUGACACCUUGCGCCUAAGCAUCCGACCGAGUCUGCCAAGGCUGUUAAAAUAACAUAUGAGUAUAAAACUCAUUUUUUUACAUUUAAAAGCACAGCCAUUCCUUGGCGUUGGCUGAGUUUCACCUUUAUGUGGUGGUUUGGCGUGAGAUGAACUCUAACUUUACCUUAGGAGAUACCCUCCGCGCCUCUCAUACUAAGGUAAAAUAUAACAGGGUUUACCGUGCCUUUCUCAUAGGCCGAUCCAUGGAAACCUGCCCACUGCAGUAAGCUAAAUACAUAACCCACCAAAUCAAUAAAAUUUCGGCAGCAUAACAUGGCUAAUAUAAUAUUACCAGCCUGUCAAUGUAAGACAAAAUAAUUUAUAUAAUUCACAAAACCACAAUUUCAUAAGCCAUUAAUUCAAAUCAUGUAUAUAUAUAUAUAUAACACGAAUGUAUAGCCUUCACUUACUCUAUUUCGAAAACCAGUAUUCAAUUUCAAAACAAGUUAUAAAUCUCAUUUCGUUUAAUCAACACUUCAAUUAUAAAACAUAAUAGUUUGCAAUUUAAAUUCAUUUUUCUUUAAAACAUAAAAACGAGUAUAAACUACUUUAGAUAGUUGAGAUAAAAGUAUGAUUACUCACAAUAGCAGGAGUUUGGAGUACUCCUAUUCUUGAUCCUCGGGCACAAUAUCUUUACCCUUAUCAAAGGGCUCACCAUCUAUACAUAAUACAUGACACGUAAUUCAAUAUAUUUGUGCCAAACUGUUAUAAAACUAUUUC
Molecule: long non-coding RNA, 1147 nt
Filed under: Theobroma cacao (cacao)
Lineage: Eukaryota; Viridiplantae; Streptophyta; Magnoliopsida; Malvales; Malvaceae
Description: long non-coding RNA (TCAC_LNC003333)
Source: RNAcentral